AAUCAACGCUGGCGGCGUGCCUAACACAUGCAAGUCGAGCGGGAAAGGGGGCCUCGGUCCCUGAGUAUAGCGGCGGACGGGUGAGUAACACGUGGGUAAUUUGCCCUUGGGUGUGGAAUAACUCAGGGAAACUUGAGCUAAUACCGCAUGACAUCCCCUUCACACACGAGUUGGGGAUCAAAGCCGGGGACCCUUCGGGGCCUGGCGCCUGAGGAGAAGCCCGCGCCCGAUUAGCUAGUGGUGAGGUAAUGGCUCACCAAGGCUUCGAUCGGUAGCCGGCCUGAGAGGGCGGACGGCCACACUGGGACUGAGACACGGCCCAGACUCCUACGGGAGGCAGCAGUGGGGAAUUUUUGUCAAUGGGGGAAACCCUGAACAAGCAACGCCGCGUGGAGGAUGAAGGUCUUCGGAUUGUAAACUCCUGUUGCUCGGGACGAAAGCUUCGACCUAAUACGUCGAAGUCUGACGGUACCGGGUGAGGAAGCCCGGCUAACUCUGUGCCAGCAGCCG
This 510-nucleotide ribosomal RNA is filed under the name uncultured bacterium. RNAcentral's name for it is "bacterial SSU rRNA". It matches the Rfam family "Bacterial small subunit ribosomal RNA", at positions 32 to 517 of the family's 1533-position model. The record is from RNAcentral.